RNAcentral lists this ribosomal RNA (424 nucleotides) under uncultured prokaryote. RNAcentral's name for it is "bacterial SSU rRNA". It matches the Rfam family "Bacterial small subunit ribosomal RNA", at positions 355 to 774 of the family's 1533-position model. The record is from RNAcentral.
UCGAGAAUCUUCGGCAAUGGGCGAAAGCCUGACCGAGCGACGCCGCGUGCGGGAUGAAGGCCCUCGGGUUGUAAACCGCUGUCAGAGGAAUGGAAAUAUUGGGGGGUUCUCCCCUCAGUUUGACUGAUCCUCAGAGGAAGUACGGGCUAAGUUCGUGCCAGCAGCCGCGGUAAGACGAACCGUACGAACGUUACUCGGAAGCACUGGGCUUAAAGGGUGCGUAGGCUGUCCGGUAAGUUGGGUGUGAAAGCCCUCGGCUCAACCGAGGAAUUGCGCCCAAUACUGUCGGACUUGAGGGAGACAGAGGUGAGCGGAACUUAGGGUGGAGCGGUGAAAUGCGUUGAUAUCCUAAGGAACACCAGUGGCGAAAGCGGCUUACUGGGUCUCUUCUGACGCUGAGGCACGAAAGCUAGGGGAGCGAACG